Homo sapiens (human) is the source of this 2363-nucleotide long non-coding RNA. Ensembl annotates it as Gfo/Idh/MocA-like oxidoreductase domain containing 3, pseudogene. Its record names the gene GFOD3P. NCBI's taxonomy places the organism in Eukaryota, Metazoa, Chordata, Mammalia, Primates, Hominidae. The record is from Ensembl.
GCUCGGACGGACCCACUCCAGCCCCCGCUGCACGCGGAAGCGCUCAUCCUCCCCGCCUGCCCCGUUCCCUCCCCCUUCUCCUGUGGGACAACCAGGGACCGCAGCUCCCCGCUCCCCAGGUGUGGGGGCUCCGACACGAACGCCUCUGCUCGCAGGGCGGUGAGCGCAGAUCCCACGGGUCCCUCGGUCGGGGGUCGAGGCUGCUUCCGUUUCCAUCCCGGACCCGACAAUGGGCGGGAAAAAGAAGGCUUUACACGACUACGCGGCGGAGUUCACCGACCUGGUGGUGAAGCACCUGAUUGAGCACAGUGACUCUGGGGACACGUCUGUGGUGGAGACCCUUUACUGCAGGGCCUGCGAGCUGCCCGUGCGCGUGCGGAGGGACCGCAUCCUGGAACACCUGUCCUCGGGCAGGCAGCACGGCCUGCGGACGCCCAUUCUCAUGUAAAUGUCAGUGCCAACGCUGGUGUUUCAGGAGUCAUCCCAGCGGGCUGCGGGCUAUUUUAGGAUUCUCUGCCCUGCAAACGUUUCCAAAGUACGUGGACAGGCCGCCUGAUGACACUACGUUUACGGGAUCUGCUAGUGGCUUGCCUACUUAGGGAGUAAACCCUGUGAAGUCUCGCAGUUUUGUUAAAGUGUGCGUGGCCACCUGAAUGCUGCCUUAUCACAAGCCAGAUACAUACUGGUCUGUAGGGUAACUCCCCACUGUUGAUCCUCUGAGAUGAUUGUGGACUGGGUGCUGUGAGUCCUGCCACUUUGUUUAAGUGAAUGUGUCUUUUGUCCAGCUCAGCCGCCUCGGAUCUCGCUGCCACCAGCCUUACUGCACACCCGUGCCACCCGCCCUUGCCCCGUCAGCCUCAGCCUCAGCUCAUUCUCUCAGGCAGUCCCAGCAUUGGCACGGUACCUCCUCCCGCUGUGGGCCACACGUCUCUGCUCCCUGUCAACCCUCCUGCCAUCAGCACCACCACCAGCGACUUGUCUGCCCGGGAGGAUGCAACACCAUCUGCCUCCACCGGCCACCUUUCAGUGUUUCCUGCUUUCCAAGUAAAGAUACCAGCAGUGCCCUCAGAGCAGACCAGCCAGAGUUUUUCUGAAGCCUCCCACAGGGUGCUCCCCGGAGGAGGCCCGAGAUGCUCUCGUGACUUUGGAGCCGGGGUGGCUGGCCACCUUGGCCUGGGCAUCUUUGGGGUGGGCUUCGGGAGCCCGGCACUGCUGCAGAGUGUGGUGGAUGAGAACAGCUGCUGCUUGCUGUACGUGGUGGAGGACCAGCUGUGUGAUGUGGAGCAAGCCUUCAGAGCUGAGCAUUUGGGCCAACACCAGAGUGGUUCGGGAACAGGAUGCAGACAUUGUCCUCAACGACCAGCGGCACUUUGAUCCGGUUUUCCAGUUCUUGCACAAGCAAGUUUGUGUCAGCCACGCCCUGGGGAGGAUCCACUGGAUCACCGCCGUCACUGCCUGUUCCCGGCGGCCUCUCCGGCUUCCCUAAAGAGAGCAGGUGGGACUUUCUACAACGCUGCUGUGCACGACGUGGAUGCCGUAUGCAUGUUGCUGGGGGAAGCCACUCCGGACACUGUGUUUUCUCUGGGACAUGUCUUCUGCCCAGGUUGCAAAGGUGAAGAAACACAGUCCCGGCUGGAAGUCACAGCCAGGGUGGGAUGCACACAGAUUAGCAGAUCAUCAGCGAGCACCAGAUAUGGCCGCCUUAAAAGAUGCAGAUGCUGUUGUGAUCAGCAUGAAGUUUCCCUGUGAGGCCGUGGUUAGCGUGGACAUCAGCCAGCACUGCACAGACAGCUGCGACCAGGACGUCAGCCAGCACUGCACAGACAGCUGCGACCAGAGACUGGAGAUGGAGUCUUGCCCUGUCACCCAGGCUGGAGUGCAAUGGUGCGAUCUCGGCUCACUGCAACCUCCGUCUCCCAGGUUCAAGCGAUUCUUCUGCCUCAGCCUUCUGAGUAGCUGGGAUUACACGCGUGUGCCACCACGCUCGGCUAAUUUUUGUAUUUUUAGUAGAGAUGGGAUUUCACCAUGUUGGCCAGGCUGGUCUCGAACUACUGACCUCGUGAUCCACCUGCCAUGGCCUCCCAAAGUGCUGGGAUUACAGGCGUGAGCCACCAUGCUCGGCCUAAAAAACAAUUUUCUUGAAGAAUCCGAUUUUGUGCAUAGUAAUGACACAGCACCAUUCCUGAGAAAUAGGAAAUAUAUGUGUGUGGUAUGAAAAGCCCAUAUUCUGUUCUUGUCACCUGAAUCUAGGCUUCCUCUUUGGAUGUGAACGCGGGAAUGAACAGUGGCUGUUUUCCACCCAAAGGGGCGUGGAGACCUUUUGGAAACGGGCUUUCUCCUUUCCAUUUUGCAGCCGGGGGCGG